Thalassophryne amazonica is the source of this 197-nucleotide long non-coding RNA. RefSeq lists it as uncharacterized. NCBI's taxonomy places the organism in Eukaryota, Metazoa, Chordata, Actinopteri, Batrachoidiformes, Batrachoididae. The transcript is spliced from 3 exons. The record is from RefSeq and is a predicted model, not a curated record.
CAGAGGAGUAGGAAGUCUGAACGAAUUACAGGAGUGAUGUGUUUGGCCAGAAAAGCCUGAAUGAGCUCUCUGCAUGCCCAAUUCCUCCAUCAAAAGUCCCCACUUCAAGUAAUUCCAUCAUGUUAAAAUCCAUACGUGUGCACUCUUUGGCUUGGUGAUUGCAACUGGCAUAUACUGCAGAUAUAAUGCCAAAUGAU